UCAAAUGGAAAAUAAUAUGUCAGCUGUGAUUUUUACUCGAGUUAAUACGAUCACGACUGACUUUGUCAACGAAAAUCAUCAGAGUGACACGAUGGCUUCUCUUACACCUCCAACCGUAAUGAGAAGCCCAACAGAAAACCAAGAGAAAAGGAGGAAAGGGAAUAAAGUCUCUGCUUUCUUUAAGAGAGCAUGGAAGGCGGUAAAGCGCCCUUUCCUUUGCUGUGACCGGAACAGAGUGGUUCCCUUUGAACCACGGUCAGAUAUCGACGAUUUCAAACACCUGCCUGUUCCAGGUCCCUCCAGGACCGUCACAGCACAUGCAGCAGAUCUUGAGCCGGUGUGUCCGCCAGGCCAGGUCUGUGAAGAUCCUAAGCUGUUGAGUGUUCCGGGCCCUUUCAGCAUCAAGCAAACAGCAGAUGUGCCAAAUGCAGAUCCGGCCCGUCCUGAGUCCUCAACGGCCUUCACAGGUCAUGUUGAUACUGAGCUGGUGUGUCUGCCAGGCCAGAUCUGGGAAGAUCCUCAGCCAAUCAGUGUCCAUGGCCCUUCCAAUAUUAAGAAAAUGACGGAUGCAGAUUCGGCCUGUCCUGAGUCGCCUCCGUCUGUUCAAGACCCCUGUAAAAUUGAUGGGACUGAUGAAAAACCCAAGAAGGGAAGGAAAGGCAAAAGAGUCUCUGCUUUCUUUAAGAGAGUAUGGAUGGCUGCAAGGCGCCCUUUCCUGUGCUGUGACACAGAUAUAGUCCAGCAUCUUACACCACAUCCUGAGCCCGAGCCAGAGUCCGAGCCUGGGCUCACUCAUGGAUCUACGAUGUCUCUUUUUGAAAUAAAAGACCUGAUUGGAGAAGGAAGCUAUGGCAAGGUGUAUCUGGUAUCUCACGUAUUUGAUCAGAGUCUAAAGGAUGGUCAUUCUGAACCUGUGCUUGCGGAAGUGGCAAUGAUGCUCAGGUUGAUGAAUGACCCAACUUGUCCCAGCAUCAUCGGAUUGCACCACUGGGUUGAGAAUAAGAAGGACUUCUAUCUCAUUCUGGAGUACGCAGAGUCAUCCCAGAUCUUGGCUCGUUACGUCAGACGUACAUCGGGCAUUGAUGAAAACCAAGCUCGCCGGUUAAUGCGUCAGUUGAUCCAAGCCGUCAAGUUCUGCGCUGAGCGUGGAGUUUUCCAUGGUGAUAUCCACGCGGGGAACAUCCUGGUGAUUCAACCCCGAUUAGAGCUCAAACUGAUUGACUUUGGUUGUGCUCGACCAAUUACCAGCGAACCUUUCAAAAGCCGUGAUUAUGGAGGAGCCAUAGUUUACACACCACCUGAGAUCUUGAGGGAUCCCACAUUCUUUCCUAACCCGGCAUACGUCUGGACAAUAGGCCUCAUCUUGUAUGAAAUAUUGCACAGACGAUUGGCCUUUACCAACACACGUUCGAUAAUCAUUGGAAAACUUAAGACAGACCUCACCUUAUCUUCAGCAUGCCUGGAGCUGAUUUCCCAGUGUUUGGUCCGCCAUCCAGAGAAGCGGCUACAGUUACAUCAGGUUGAAGAGCACCAGUGGUUCAAUCCAACGAGCCCAAAUCCUGCGCAGCAGCUAGACAAGAGGAGAAAACACUAGAGAAGCGAGGAGGAGAAGAGCAGCAUUUCCAGACAUUCCACAAAACUGUUAAACUUAUUAAUUAUUCCCUCAUGUCAUUCCAAACCCCUAAGACCUUCCUUUUCUUCACUGUCAGUCGUGGAGUGUAUUGAUGAGAGCUCUGUCCUGCACUGUAUGUGUGUCGCACUGCUGACGUUUACCUCAGAUGUGCCCACGCUUUGUUUAAAUGAGAGGAAGUCGCGCAGGUCUCUGGGUUAUACGUCAGCAGCGUGAGCAAAUGCAACACAUAUACAGUGCAGUACAGCACUUCUCAACAGUGUGACAGGCACACAUUGAACUCAGAUUUCAUCUAAAAUGUUUUCAUUUCUGUUCUCAAUAUGAACUAAACAUGAAUAUGAACUAAGGACAUGAGGUGAGCAAUUAAUGACAAUAAUGGUAAUUAAACACCGCAGCUCUGCACAAGACGUUUGGCCAUAGGAGAAAUGGUCGUGCCCAACUGAGCCUGGUUUCUCUCGAGGUUUUUUCCUUCACUUUUGUCAAUUGGUGAAGUUUUGUUCCUCGCCGCUGUCGCCUCUGGCUUGCUUGGUUGGGACUUGUGGAGCUGCGCAUCGAUGGAUUUGCUCUUCAGUGUUUGGACUUUCAGCAUUGACAAUUAAACCACACUGAACUGAACUGAACUUCUACUCUGAAAACUGGACUGACCCAGUUUCAAUUUACUUCUAUGUUAAGCUGCUUUGACACAAUGCACAUUAUAAAAGCGCUAUAGAAAUGAAGAUGAAUUGAACUGAACUGGAUUUCUCCUCUAAAGUUUCAUCAAAGAUCUGCUCAACUUUUUCUGCUUUAUAAUUGAAUCUGGUGUUCUCUCAUAAGAGAGUCUGAUUGUUUUAUAAUCAAGUAUUCAUAAUUGUUUUGUAAUGUAUUGUUCUUUGAAUUGUUUUGUAAUGAAUUGCUUUUAUAUGCUGUCAAUAAUUCAAAUAAAAUCCUGUGAAUCAAA
Danio rerio (zebrafish) is the source of this 2567-nucleotide long non-coding RNA. The record is from Ensembl. Lineage: Eukaryota; Metazoa; Chordata; Actinopteri; Cypriniformes; Danionidae.